RNAcentral lists this transfer RNA (67 nucleotides) under Marmota monax (woodchuck). RNAcentral describes it as "tRNA.Ala". It matches the Rfam family "tRNA". Rfam says of the family: Transfer RNA (tRNA) molecules are approximately 80 nucleotides in length. Lineage: Eukaryota; Metazoa; Chordata; Mammalia; Rodentia; Sciuridae. The record is from RNAcentral.
GGUGGUGGCUUAGUGGUAGAGCACUUGCCUAGCAUGUGUGAGGCCCUGGGUUCGAUUCUCAGCACCA